GCCUUCUUGGAUCAAUUUUUAUUUUUUUGCUGGUCAGCAUAUAUUUUGCUGAUCAUCAUUAUUCGGCAUUAUUUUGGAGUUUAGUUUUCUUUCUGCAGAUGGUUAUUGGCGACAAGGGCUUGGGCCCCCUUAUCCUUCCUGUGAGGGUGGCUUUCCUCCCUGCCAGUGUCCUGGUACCGGCUUGUCGAUAACAGUUUGCUCUCCAUUUUCUGCUGCUGAUAACAGCCUGUUUUCCACAGCUUGAUCCUCCCAUUGUUUAUCUUGCCUUGUCCAGAGGAAACAUAUCCUUAUCAUUCAGGAUUCCUAUCUAAGCCUAAAGCUUGCUAAGAGAGAAAAGAAUAUAGUGAAAGCAUAUAAUAUAUAUUUAUCAGAAUAAUUGUGAAAAGCCAAUAUUUACAACAUGAAUUCACAACAGUUCCUCCUUUUAUCU
This is a long non-coding RNA of Parus major (Great Tit), 430 nucleotides long. RefSeq lists it as uncharacterized. The transcript has 3 exons. NCBI's taxonomy places the organism in Eukaryota, Metazoa, Chordata, Aves, Passeriformes, Paridae. The record is from RefSeq and is a predicted model, not a curated record.